This 253-nucleotide ribosomal RNA is filed under the name uncultured bacterium. RNAcentral's name for it is "partial 16S ribosomal RNA". It matches the Rfam family "Archaeal small subunit ribosomal RNA", at positions 474 to 727 of the family's 1478-position model. The record is from RNAcentral.
UACCAGCACCCCGAGUGGUCGGGACGAUUAUUGGGCCUAAAGCAUCCGUAGCCGGUCCUACAAGUCUUCCGUUAAAUCCACCUGCUUAACAGAUGGGCUGCGGAAGAUACUAUAGGGCUAGGAGGCGGGAGAGGCAAGCGGUACUCAGUGGGUAGGGGUAAAAUCCUCUGAUCCAUUGAAGACCACCAGUGGCGAAGGCGGCUUGCCAGAACGCGCUCGACGGUGAGGGAUGAAAGCGUGGGGAGCGAACAGG